UAAUUUCACAACAGAACUCAAAUGGAAUUCACCUAAAUAGGUAUUACAUAAUUAUACAGUUGGUAGCGUCCGUAUAACACUAAAUAUGUAAAAUGUACGUUCCGGAAUUUUCACCUCCGAUUAUUAUUUACGUUAACGGGUGACGUCACUGGUAAGAAGUCUGACGUCUGCAAGACAGUGUCUGGAGUUAGGAUAGGAGUAACGUGUAUAACAUAAUGUAAACUUAGUUUACCAAAUAAGUAAGAAAAUAUUGACGCAGUCAACUGUCUUGGUCAGCACCCCAGCCCAGGUGUGAAUCAACACUGGCACAUUAUAUCAAAAUUAAGGAUGGUGGCUGAAGCUCAUCUCCUAUGUAAACACCUAAAUGCCAAGUCUGGACUUCAAAAACAGAUUCUGAAAGUUUAACCAGCAUUAUGGACAAAAAGUAUACACUUCGAACAGACACAAAAACAUAUAGGUCCAUGCCAAGCUAUGAAAGAUUUAUGCUGAGGGUAAGUUCUAUUAUUAUAUAGAAUUUAAUUGUCAGACAUAUGGUUAUGUCUAAAAUUUUACUGUUGUAUUUAUAUCAGUGAUAAGCAAUAUUUUGCACCUGAGCUGACUUACAUGUAAUCACAAAAAAAUGUUAUAACUAAUUAGAUAACCUGAGUCAGUCAUGACCUAUUGCUAUCUGUUUUUAGCUCACCUGAGCUGAAAGCUCAAGUGAGCUUUUGCUGAUCACAUUUUGUCUGUAGUCUGUCUAGCUGUCCGUCUGUCUGUAAACUUUCACAUUUUC
Molecule: long non-coding RNA, 772 nt
Organism: Saccostrea echinata
Lineage: Eukaryota; Metazoa; Mollusca; Bivalvia; Ostreida; Ostreidae
Exons: 4
Source: RefSeq, a predicted model, not a curated record